UGUACACGCUGUGACUAGCAUAUCAAUAAGCGGAGGAAAAGGCUGCGGAACUGAACGACCGCUACCUACGCUUAGGAUGUUGACGAGACUGUCGAUCUCAUCUAUACAUGACUCUGCGCAUAUCAAUAAGCGGAGGAAAAGAAACUAACAAGGAUUCCCUCAGUAACGGCGAGUGAAGCGGGAAGAGCUCAAAUUUGAAAUCUUCAAGGGUUUACUCUUUACGAAUUGUAGUUUAAAGAAGUGUUUUCUGCUGAGGUUUUGGUAAAAGUUCUUUGGAAUAGGACAUCAUAGAGGGUGAGAAUCCCGUAUUUGACCAUUACUUUCAACUUUGUGAUACACUUUCAAAGAGUCGGAUUGUUUGGGAAUGCAGUCCAAAAUGGGUGGUAAAUUUCAUCUAAAGCUAAAUAUUGGCGAGAGACCGAUAGCGAACAAGUACCGUGAGGGAAAGAUGAAAAGAACCUUGAAAAGAGAGUUAAACAGUACGUGAAAUUGUCAAAAGGGAAGCGUUUGACACCAGUGUUGUUUUUCUGAAAAUCAAUUAAAGAACUGUUUAUGCUAAGUUGUUUAGACUUUAUCAGCUAACUGUCUAGUUUUGAGCUUUUCUUUAAUGCACUUUUCAGUUAACAAGUCAACAUCAAUUUCUUUUGCUGUAAAAAAGCUUGAGGAAGGUGGCUUGAGAUUCGUCUUAAGUGUUUAUAGCCUCUUGCCUAUGCAGUCGGAGAGAUUGAGGUCUGCAGCGUAGACUCCUUCGGGGCUAAAUGCAUUUGUGCUAAGUUAUAGCAUUUUAUAGACAACUUGUUGACUAUGAUUUGUCUUGUAGCUUACUCGCUUAUGUUAUUUUACCUACGCUUAGGAUGUUGACAGCAGUAUAGACUGU
This 877-nucleotide ribosomal RNA is filed under the name uncultured Neocallimastigales. Its description in RNAcentral is "partial large subunit ribosomal RNA". The stretch from base 93 to 877 matches the Rfam family "Eukaryotic large subunit ribosomal RNA", at positions 1 to 629 of the family's 3401-position model. The record is from RNAcentral. Lineage: Eukaryota; Fungi; Neocallimastigomycota; Neocallimastigomycetes; Neocallimastigales.